CCUACGGGAGGCAGCAGUGGGGAAUAUUGCACAAUGGGCGGAAGCCUGAUGCAGCCAUGCCGCGUGUGUGAAGAAGGCCUUAGGGUUGUAAAGCACUUUCAGCGGGGAGGAAGGCGGUAAGAGUAAUAUGCUUAUCAAUUGACGUUACCCGCAAAAGAAGCACCGGCUAACUCCGUGCCAGCAGCCGCGGUAAUACGGAGGGUGCGAGCGUUAAUCGGAAUAACUGGGCGUAAAGAGCAUGUAGGCGGUAAGUUAAGUCAGAUGUGAAAUCCCCGAGCUUAACUUGGGAACGGCAUUUGAGACUGGCUGGCUAGAGUUUUGUAGAGGGGGGUAGAAUUCCAGGUGUAGCGGUGAAAUGCGUAGAGAUCUGGAGGAAUACCGGUGGCGAAGGCGGCCCCCUGGACAAGGACUGACGCUGAGGUGCGAAAGCGUGGGUAGCAAACAGGAUUAGAUACCCCAGUAGUC
Molecule: ribosomal RNA, 465 nt
Filed under: Candidatus Regiella insecticola
Lineage: Bacteria; Pseudomonadati; Pseudomonadota; Gammaproteobacteria; Enterobacterales; Enterobacteriaceae
Description: bacterial SSU rRNA
Rfam family: Bacterial small subunit ribosomal RNA
Source: RNAcentral